Molecule: ribosomal RNA, 468 nt
Filed under: uncultured bacterium
Lineage: Bacteria
Description: bacterial SSU rRNA
Rfam family: Bacterial small subunit ribosomal RNA
Source: RNAcentral
UGGCCAGACUCCUACGGGAGGCAGCAGUGAGGAAUAUUGGUCAAUGGGCUUACGCCUGAACCAGCCAAGUCGCGUGGGGGAAGACUGCCCUAUGGGUUGUAAACCUCUUUUGUCAGGGAGCAACGCCGGCUACGUGUAGCCGGACUGAGAGUACCUGAAGAAAAAGCAUCGGCUAACUCCGUGCCAGCAGCCGCGGUAAUACGGAGGAUGCGAGCGUUAUCCGGAUUUAUUGGGUUUAAAGGGUGCGUAGGCGGACAGUCAAGUCAGCGGUAAAAAUGCGGUGCUCAACGCCGUACAGCCGUUGAAACUGGCAGUCUUGAGUGGGCGAGAAGUAUGCGGAAUGCGUGGUGUAGCGGUGAAAUGCAUAGAUAUCACGCAGAACUCCGAUUGCGAAGGCAGCAUACCGGCGCCCGACUGACGCUGAGGCACGAAAGCGUGGGUAUCGAACAGGAUUAGAUACCCGGGUAC